UGAUUGUCUCUCUGUGUCUGUCUGUCUGUCUCUCUCUCUCUCUUUCUCUGCCCCCCCCCCCCACACACACACACACUUCUCCCUCUGUCCAAAGAUUUUAAGAACUUGAACUUGAUCAGCUCAAAGGUCCACUUUUCCCAUGAGCUACCUGCUACUUCCAUUGGAAAUUCGCACAAAGAACUCUCUGACCCAGGGGAGCACGGGGUUGUACGCUGUGUGGAGGGUCAGAUACAUGCUUCUUUUGGAUAUCUGGGUUUCCGGGGUUUUAAUCAUCAGAUUUCAUGAAGCCACUCUAGUCUGUUGGGAGAAUAGCGGUCCAAAGAGCCCCCACAAUUAACACUUUUGUCAACUCAGAUUCGAAGCCAGCGUAAAAUAAUACACUUCCUACUCUCCUGUUUAAAGGCAAAUAAAUCAGAGAAACUUGAGGACAUAUGAAACAUUGGAUGACUACAAACGUGCUUUACACUUGGGCUCUGCGGUGCUUACACAUGGAGCAACUAAGAACUGGAACCCUGGGACGUCAGAUGGAAUCUUUAGUUUGUAUGUAAUUACAUACAGAUGGGGGAGGUGCUUUAAGUGGCUCUUUUGUUUUUUAAUCAUCUCAAAUAUGCAGCCAGCCAGCCAGCCAGUAGCACUAAGGGUCAUAACCUGAUGGGAAACAGGAAAUCUAAGGUAGAGGUUUUUGAGUGCCUGGGCUCAGGCAUUUUUGUUUGUUUGUUUCUGUUGCUGGCUCUAACAUGGGGGCCUCUGUGGUCAGUUUUCCGGUAAGUGAGCAUCUAACUGGCAGGUGUUGUGAUCAUGCAGUUUGCCCAAAGAGACAAGGGGUGUGGAUUUAUUGCUUUCUGUCAAGAAAAGGCAAUCUCAUACCUGUAAAUUUCCUCAACAUUUUUUUUUUUGGUCAAUUAAACUGAGACCCUUAAUGUUACUUUAAUGUAAAAUUGUAUAGUUUUGACUGUGACAUACUUUAUUAAUUUUAAGUAAUUAGUGCUUAAGCCUUCAGAACUGUUGGUAUCAAGAGUAGGACUUUAAAGUGGUGUUAACUUAACAAUGCUCAUUCAUUCCAACUCACUCAGCUGUAGUCAGGGACAGAGCAGAAUAGCUCUCUUACAUGCCCCUGACAUUAAAUCCUUGGUGUGUUCAAAGAAUAAAUAAAGAGAAAUUGAAGCUGGUUCAAGGUUAGAGUCAUAUCCUUGACAACUUUUUAAAAAUUUUUUUAUUAGGAAAUUAAUAUUAGCCUUUUUCAUUCUGGCUGAAAGAAAAUUAUUAGAGGAUUACUUGAGUGUGAAAUUGAAUAGUACUUUGCCCCUGCAUACUAAAGAGGUGGGCUGGGGACUUGACACAUUUAACAAGUUUCCCUCAAGGUUUCGAUUUGGAGAAAACAAAUUCAACAUUUCCUUUGGAGAGUCUGCCCUUGUCACUUGCUGCAUGGAUCGGAUGACGUAGGUUAGUGUCUGAUUUUGGAAUCCCAAUGAAAUAACUUUCAAACAAUUUGUCCCCAUGAUUAAAGGUGGAAUGGUAUCCAAUUUCCCCCCUAAUCCUUCAGUUUAAGCUCAUAAAUUGUAGGUGAAUGUGGAAUGAAAUCAUCUGUGAUAUAUUAUGUUCAUUUACCAAACGAGCUCUUUUGAUGUUGCCUGUUUUUAUGUAAAACAUGUUCUUAAACUAAUAAAGUCAUAUCUCUUGGUGUACAAAUU
Molecule: long non-coding RNA, 1691 nt
Filed under: Mus musculus (house mouse)
Lineage: Eukaryota; Metazoa; Chordata; Mammalia; Rodentia; Muridae
Description: long non-coding RNA chr3:55537369-55539060
Source: RNAcentral